This 400-nucleotide ribosomal RNA is filed under the name uncultured bacterium. Its description in RNAcentral is "bacterial SSU rRNA". It matches the Rfam family "Bacterial small subunit ribosomal RNA", at positions 29 to 416 of the family's 1533-position model. The record is from RNAcentral.
AACGAACGCUGGCGGCGCGCCUAAUACAUGCAAGUCGAGCGAGAAGACGUAGCAAUACGUUUGUAAAGCGGCGAACGGGUGAGGAAUACAUGGGUAACCUACCCUCGAGUGGGGAAUAACUAGCCGAAAGGUUAGCUAAUACCGCGUACGCUCCUUGGACUUCGGUUUCAGGGAGGAAAGCGAUACCGUGGGUAUCGCGCUCUUUGGAUGGGCGUCAUGUCCUAUCAGCUUGUUGGUGAGGUAACGGCUCACCAAGGCUUCGACGGGUAGCUGGUCUGAGAGGACAAUCAGCCACACUGGCACUGCGACACGGGCCAGACUCCUACGGGAGGCAGCAGUAAGGAAUAUUGCGCAAUGGGCGAAAGCCUGACGCAGCGACGCCGCGUGGGGGAUGAAGGUC